This 640-nucleotide ribosomal RNA is filed under the name uncultured Bacteroides sp. RNAcentral's name for it is "bacterial SSU rRNA". It matches the Rfam family "Bacterial small subunit ribosomal RNA", at positions 75 to 715 of the family's 1533-position model. The record is from RNAcentral. Lineage: Bacteria; Pseudomonadati; Bacteroidota; Bacteroidia; Bacteroidales; Bacteroidaceae.
UAGCAUAGAUUGCUGGCGACCGGCGCACGGGUGAGUAACACGUAUCCAACCUCCUUAUAACUCGGGGAUAGCCUUUCGAAAGAAAGAUUAAUACCCGAUAGUAUAAUCAGACCGCAUGGUUUGAUUAUUAAAGAAUUUCGGUUGUCGAUGGGGAUGCGUUCCAUUAGGCAGUUGGCGGGGUAACGGCCCACCAAACCUACGAUGGAUAGGGGUUCUGAGAGGAAGGUCCCCCACAUUGGAACUGAGACACGGUCCAAACUCCUACGGGAGGCAGCAGUGAGGAAUAUUGGUCAAUGGACGAGAGUCUGAACCAGCCAAGUAGCGUGAAGGAUGACUGCCCUAUGGGUUGUAAACUUCUUUUAUACGGGAAUAAAGUGAGCCACGUGUGGCUUUUUGUAUGUACCGUAUGAAUAAGGAUCGGCUAACUCCGUGCCAGCAGCCGCGGUAAUACGGAGGAUCCGAGCGUUAUCCGGAUUUAUUGGGUUUAAAGGGAGCGUAGGCGGGUUGUUAAGUCAGUUGUGAAAGUUUGCGGCUCAACCGUAAAAUUGCAGUUGAUACUGGCGACCUUGAGUGCAACAGAGGUAGGCGGAAUUCGUGGUGUAGCGGUGAAAUGCUUAGAUAUCACGAAGAACUCCGAUUG